This 857-nucleotide ribosomal RNA is filed under the name uncultured bacterium. RNAcentral's name for it is "bacterial SSU rRNA". It matches the Rfam family "Bacterial small subunit ribosomal RNA", at positions 27 to 889 of the family's 1533-position model. The record is from RNAcentral.
GAACGAACGUGGGCGGCGUGGAUUAGGCAUGCAAGUCGAACGAAUCCCAAGGGGCUUGCUCUCUGGGGGAAGUGGCGAAAGGGGCAGUAAGGCGUGGGUAACCUACCCCGGGGACGGGCAUAGCCGUCCUAACGGACGGGUAAUUCCCGGCGAUUUGGCGAGGGGGCAUCUCCUUGCCAGGAAAUGAGUUUCGCCUCGGGAGGGGCUCACGUGGUAUUAGCUAGUUGGUGAGGUAACGGCUCACCAAGGCCGAGAUGCCUAGCGGGUGUGAGAGCACGACCCGCGCCACUGGCACUGAGACACUGGCCAGACACCUACGGGUGGCUGCGGUCGAGGAUCUUCGGCAAUGGGCGCAAGCCUGACCGAGCGACGCCGCGUGUGCGAUGAAGGCCUUCGGGUUGUAAAGCACUGUCGAGGGGGAGGAAAGCCCGCAAGGGUCUGACCUAUCCCUGGAGGAAGCACGGGCUAAGUUCGUGCCAGCAGCCGCGGUAAGACGAACCGUGCCAACGUUGUUCGGAAUCACUGGGCUUAAAGGGCGCGUAGGCGGGUUGCCAAGUCCGGGGUGAAAGCCCCCAGCUCAACUGGGGAAGUGCCUUGGAUACUGGUGAUCUCGAGGGAGGUAGGGGCAUGCGGAACUUCCGGUGGAGCGGUGAAAUGCGUAGAUAUCGGAAGGAACGCCGGUGGCGAAAGCGGCGUGCUGGACCUCUUCUGACGAUGAGGCGCGAAAGCCAGGGGAGCAAACGGGAUUAGAUACCCCGGUAGUCCUGGCCCUAAACGAUGGGUACUAGGUUGUGGACUAACAUGGGUUCACAGCCGAAGCAAAAGUGUUAAGUACCCCGCCUGGGGAGUAUGGUCGC